RNAcentral lists this unclassified non-coding RNA (251 nucleotides) under fungal sp. RNAcentral's name for it is "partial internal transcribed spacer region". The stretch from base 1 to 46 matches the Rfam family "Eukaryotic small subunit ribosomal RNA", at positions 1786 to 1831 of the family's 1831-position model. Lineage: Eukaryota; Fungi. The record is from RNAcentral.
AAGUCGUAACAAGGUUUCCGUAGGUGAACCUGCGGAAGGAUCAUUACUGAGUUUAGAGGCUGUAAAAGGUCUCAACUCCCACCCUAUGUGUAACGAAUUGAACCGAGCAGGAGACUGUGAGGGACAAUCAACUCUUUUUAUGUUUUCGAUUUGUUUGACUUGCGGGUUUAUACCUUGCGGGAGAAACAAUUCAAAACAUGAAAAAACCCAAAAAAAAAUCAAAACUUUCAACAACGGAUCUCUUGGUUCUG